UCCCAGGUAACUGUAGGAAUACAGCUUGUAUGUGCUGUUGAACAUCUGAAAUGAAGUUGUAUGGCCAGCUGGUGAUGUCUGGAGAGUUGCCUCAGUGCGUGGGAGGAAGGUGAUCUGCGUGGAUCCACCACCCAAAUCCAGCAUUCCUACACUUCUCUUCUGCGUAUCAUCUAAGCUACCUGUUAAAAAGUUUAUUGUGAUCCAG
This 205-nucleotide long non-coding RNA is filed under the name Gallus gallus (chicken). The record is from RNAcentral. Lineage: Eukaryota; Metazoa; Chordata; Aves; Galliformes; Phasianidae.